RNAcentral lists this non-coding RNA (23 nucleotides) under Arabidopsis thaliana (thale cress). The record is from RNAcentral. Lineage: Eukaryota; Viridiplantae; Streptophyta; Magnoliopsida; Brassicales; Brassicaceae.
GUUCGCUUUGUUUUGUCCGAAGA